Molecule: long non-coding RNA, 1472 nt
Organism: Esox lucius (northern pike)
Lineage: Eukaryota; Metazoa; Chordata; Actinopteri; Esociformes; Esocidae
Source: Ensembl
CUUCCUGGGAAGGUGUUCCGGUCCCGUCCCACCGGGAGGAGACCCCGGGGAAGACCUAGGACACGCUGGAGGGACUAUGUCUCCCGGCUGGCCUGGGAACGCCUCGGUGUCCCCCCGGAAGAGCUAGAGGAAGUGUCUGGGGAGAGGGAAGUCUGGGCAUCCCUGCUUAGACUGCUGCCCCCGCGACCCGGACCCGGAUAAGCGGAAGAAGAUGAUAUGAGAACUCCUGCAACUCCUCAACAUUUGUUGAUUUGAAUGUCUUUUUGGACCGAGCAGUGAUUUACACAGUGCAAACUGUUACAGAGAACUGUGGAAACAGAACCAUAAGCAAAGCUGUUAACAUCUCUAUUGCUAAACCCACGGCAUGUAUAGUUCUAACACAAUUUGAAUCUAACGUGAAGAACGAUGACAUGUAACCAAUGACAAAGUUAAGAGGCGUGACUUGCUGGAGAAGCCCCGGCUGCGAUGUGAAGACAGUAAUUAAACCCCGCAGCAUCCGCAAAAGAAAGCUGGUGUUUCAAGCGUGGAGUAUAUCGUUUCUGAUGUUGAGCGGAUUUGAACACCGACCGUGUUUGGUAAACACAUUUUUGGACCUCCAAAUCUUGUUCAAGUGACCGGCAUCUGCAUCAGUUGGACUGGGUGGUCAGACUGUGAUCUUACACAACCUGAGCAGAUACUUUGUAUUGAGGACAGCCGGGUGAUGAGACAAAGUACAUUACCACAAUGGGGUCAGUUACGGACACCCGUCCUUGUGGUUGCACAGAGUGAGGGGGUUUUUGUUUUCUUUCAGGCUUGAAAGCUGAAGGUAAUACAGCCAACUCUUCAAAACUGCUGUAUGUAAAUGUAUGUUUGAGUUAGAAUAUUCGAAUCUGAAAAGUGGAUUGUUAUUUACACGUUAAACCAGAGAAAUGGCGAAAGAUAAUGCUAACGACAGUCCAGACACGGAACAGCCAACAACCUCUACAAAUAAUCAAUCGACCAUACCCCAAAAAAACAAAUGAACCAACCGCUACUUUGUUACACAGCGAUGCGCACAAUAAUCCUCAGAUACAAGGCGUGUUAACCGAGCUUAGUAGCCCCCAUUUUUCACACGAUCUAGUUGACACUCCUUCGAGCUCUCUGAUGCAAACUCAAUGCAGUGCUGGCGAUGUUAGAGUUAUACAGCGUAAUGCGUUUGACAAUGUUGAAUUACGACAGUUUAUAAAUUUACAAAAUACUGGUGAAGUUGGUGAUUUUGGCACAUUCUACACAAGUAUUAUGGCAGGCUUGGAUACUUUGAUUGUUAGAGCCUCAGACUUUGUACAAGGGCCCGGUGAUCGUCUGCAGAUUGAGUUGAUUGGUGAAUCUCUGAUAGAUCCCGUACAUGUGACCAUGAGAGCGGAUGAAUAUAAUGAACGCACGUUUGGUAAUUUACUUGAAAGUGUUAUGCAGAGUAAUACGGAGCUUAUGAUUGAUGAAUCACUAGAACUGGU